UCGGGAAUAUUGGGCAAUGGGGGAAACCCUGACCCAGCAACGCCGCGUGAGUGAAGAAGGCCUUCGGGUCGUAAAGCUCUGUCCUCGGGGACGAAGAAUGACGGUACCCGAGAAGAAAGCCACGGCUAACUACGUGCCAGCAGCCGCGGUAAUACGUAGGUGGCAAGCGUUGUCCGGAAUUACUGGGCGUAAAGGGCGAGUAGGCGGUCUUACCAGUCAGAUGUGAAAGGCGAGGGCUCAACCCUCGGACUGCAUUUGAAACUGUAAGACUUGAGUGCGGUAGAGGAAAGUGGAAUUCCCAGUGUAGCGGUGAAAUGCGUAGAUAUUGGGAGGAACACCAGUGGCGAAGGCGACUUUCUGGGCCGUAACUGACGCUGAGGCGCGAAAGCGUGGGGAGCAAACAGG
This 405-nucleotide ribosomal RNA is filed under the name uncultured prokaryote. RNAcentral's name for it is "bacterial SSU rRNA". It matches the Rfam family "Bacterial small subunit ribosomal RNA", at positions 355 to 776 of the family's 1533-position model. The record is from RNAcentral. RNAcentral also lists the same sequence under 1 other name.